RNAcentral lists this ribosomal RNA (1135 nucleotides) under uncultured organism. RNAcentral describes it as "bacterial SSU rRNA". It matches the Rfam family "Bacterial small subunit ribosomal RNA", at positions 54 to 1195 of the family's 1533-position model. The record is from RNAcentral.
CAUGCAAGUCGAACGAGAAGCUCCCUUCGGGGAGUGGAGAGUGGCGCACGGGUGAGUAACACGUGAGCAACCUGCCGGGAAGCCCGGGAUAGCCCUCCGAAAGGAGGAUUAAUACCGGAUGUGGCCACCCUGCGAUUGCGGGGGAAGCUAAAGGAUUUAUUCACUUCCCGAGGGGCUCGCGGCCCAUCAGCUUGUUGGUGAGGGUAACGGCCCACCAAGGCGACAACGGGUAGCUGGUCUGAGAGGAUGGUCAGCCACACUGGAACUGAGACACGGUCCAGACACCUACGGGUGGCAGCAGUCGAGAAUCAUUCGCAAUGGGGGAAACCCUGACGAUGCGACGCCGCGUGGAGGAUGAAGGCCUUAGGGUUGUAAACUCCUGUCAAGAGGGAAUAAGCAAGUGAAGGUACCUCUAGAGGAAGGGGCGGCUAAUUCCGUGCCAGCAGCCGCGGUAACACGGAAGCCCCGAGCGUUGUUCGGAUUCAUUGGGCGUAAAGGGUGCGUAGGCGGCGCGGAAAGUCCGGCGUGAAAGGCAGGGGCUCAACCUCUGGACUGCGUUGGAUACUUCCGUGCUUGAGGACUGGAGGGGAGACUGGAAUUCACGGUGUAGCGGUGAAAUGCGUAGAUAUCGUGAGGAAGACCGGUGGCGAAGGCGAGUCUCUGGACAGAUCCUGACGCUGAGGCACGAAGGCUGGGGGAGCGAACAGGAUUAGAUACCCUGGUAGUCCCAGCAGUAAACGAUGUGAGCUUGAUGUGGGGGGAUUCGACCCCUUCCGUGUCGAAGCUAACGCGAUAAGCUCACCGCCUGAGGAGUACGGCCGCAAGGCUAAAACUCAAAGAAAUUGACGGGGACCCGCACAAGCGGUGGAGUAUGUGGCUUAAUUCGAUGCAACGCGAAGAACCUUACCUGGCCUUGACAUGCAUUGUGUCGUCGGUGAAAGCCGGCUUAGUCCUGGAAACAGGACGCUUUGCACAGGUGCUGCAUGGCUGUCGUCAGCUCGUGUCGUGAGAUGUUGGGUUAAGUCCCGCAACGAGCGCAACCCUUGUGGUCAGUUACUAACCGGCUUAGCCGGAGGACUCUGGCCAGACUGCCCUGUCAAACGGGGAGGAAGGUGGGGACGACGUCAAGUCAGUA